RNAcentral lists this long non-coding RNA (1775 nucleotides) under Homo sapiens (human). Its description in RNAcentral is "HSALNT0246013". Lineage: Eukaryota; Metazoa; Chordata; Mammalia; Primates; Hominidae. The record is from RNAcentral.
CAUGGGGGUGGCUUCCACCAUACUGUUCUCAUGGUAGAGAAUAAGUCUCACGAGAUCUGAUGGUUUUAUCAGGGGUUUCCACUUCUGCGUCUUCCUCAUUCUCUGUUUGCCUGCUGCCAUCCAUGUAAGACGGGACUCCUUCCUCCUUGCCUUUCGCCAUGAUUGUGAGGCUCCCCAAGCCACGUGGAACUAGUUGAUGACACACCAAAAGUGUGAACGGCAAAAGAAAGAAAUGGAUAACUUGGACUUUAUCAAAAUGAAAACUUUUGUGAAUCAAAGAACAUUAUCAAGAAUGUGAAAAGACCACCCACAGGACGGGAGAAAAUAUUUGCAAAUCAUAUGUAUUAGUCCAUUUUCACACUGUUAUAAAGAACUACCUAAGACUGGGUAAUUUAUAAAGACAAGAAGUUUAAUUGACUCACAGUUCUGCUUGGCUGGGGAGGCCUCAGGAAACUUACAAUCAUGGUGGAAGGCAAAGGGGAAGCGAGGCUUGUCUUACAUGGUGGCAGGAGAGAGAGAUCCAAGGGGAAGUGUCAACCACUUUUAAACCAUUAGAUCUUGUGAAAACUCACUCACUAUCAUGAGAACAGCAUGAGGGAAACCACUCUUAUGAUCCAGUCACCUCGCACCAGGUCCCUCCCUCGACAGGUGGGGAUUACAAUUUGAGAUGAGAUUUGGGUGGGGACACAGAGCCAACCCAUAUCAUCAUGUAUCUGAUAAGUAUCUAGUAUCCAGAAUUUGUAAGGAACUAUUAGAUUUGACUACAAAAAGACAACUCAAUUAACAAACGGGCAAACGACUUGAAUAGAUAUUCUCCACAGAAGGUACACAAAGGGCCAAGAAACAUGAAAAGAUGUCCCGCGUCACAAUCAUUGGUGAAAUGCAAAUCAAAACCUCUAUGAGACACUACCUCACGCCCACUAGGAUGGCUAUUAUUUUUUAAAAAGAGAGAAUAACAAGGGUUGGCAAGGGAUGUGGAGAAAUUGGAGCCUGUAUACAUUGCUGGUGGGAAUGUGAAAUGGUGCAGCUGCUGUGGAAACUGGUUUGGCAUUUCCUCAAAAAGUUAAACAUAGAAUUACCAGACGGCCCAGCAAUUCCGCUCCUAGGUAUAUUCCCUAAAGCACUGAAAACAGGAACUCUGACAGAUACACACACAUUCAUAGCAGCAUUAUUCACAAUGGCUAAAAGGUGAGGACAACCCAAUGCCAUCAAUGGAUAAAUGAAUAAACUGUGGUCUGUCCACACAAUGGAAUAUUAUUCAGCUAUAAAAAGGAAUGAAAUUCGGAUACAUGCCACAGCAUGGCUGAAACGCAGAAAACAUAACUGUGUGAAAGAAACCAGACACAAAAGCCUACAUUUUGUAUGAUUCUAUUUAUACAAAAUUUCCUUUUGGGGUGAUGAAAAUAUUUUGGAACAAGAUAGAGGUGAUGGUUUCACAACAACUUGAAGGUACUUAACUUAACGUCACUGAAUUGUUCACUGUAAAAUGAUCGAUUUUGUUAAGUCCAUUUCACUUCGAUUUUAAAAAGUGAAGUUGAGCUAUUUUAAUGUGUUCAAGAACCAUAUGUACUUCCUUGUCUUUGACCUGGUGAUAUCAUUUGACCAUUUUUCUAUUGAGUUAUUGAUUUUUAGAACUGAUUUGUAAUUCCACUUUUUAAAGAAAAUGAUCCUGUGUGAUAGAUUGCAAAUCUUUUUCUCAGUUUUUAAUUUUUUUUUUUCUGAAUUGGGUUAUGGUGAAUUUUGCUCUGAAUAUUAAAAAAAUAAUACAGUAAUUA